AAAAAGGUAAGCUAACUAAGCUUUUGGGCUCAUACCUCAUUUAUAAAGGUUUUAAUCCUUUUCUUUUUA
This 69-nucleotide transfer RNA is filed under the name Cleptocaccobius convexifrons. RNAcentral describes it as "tRNA-Met". It matches the Rfam family "tRNA". From Rfam's summary of the family: Transfer RNA (tRNA) molecules are approximately 80 nucleotides in length. Lineage: Eukaryota; Metazoa; Arthropoda; Insecta; Coleoptera; Scarabaeidae. The record is from RNAcentral.